This 460-nucleotide ribosomal RNA is filed under the name uncultured bacterium. RNAcentral's name for it is "partial 16S ribosomal RNA". It matches the Rfam family "Bacterial small subunit ribosomal RNA", at positions 338 to 795 of the family's 1533-position model. The record is from RNAcentral.
CCUACGGGUGGCAGCAGUGAGGAAUAUUGGUCAAUGGGCGAGAGCCUGAACCAGCCAAGUCGCGUGAGGGAAGACGGUCCUAUGGAUUGUAAACCUCUUUUGUCGGGGAGCAACAAGGCCUCCUUAUGCCACUCGUCAGAGUACCCGCAGAAAAAGCCUCGGCUAACUCCGUGCCAGCAGCCGCGUUAAUACGGAGGAUGCGGGCGUUAUCCGGUUUUAUUGGGUUUAAAGGGUGCGUAGGCGGACUGGAAAGUCAGCGGUAAAAUCGAGAGGCUCAACCUCUUUCCGCCGUUGAAACUGUCGGUCUUGAGUGGGCGAGAAGUAGGCGGAAUGCGUGGUGUAGCGGUGAAAUGCAUAGAUAUCACGAAGAACUCCGAUUGCGAAGGCAGCAUACCGGCGCCCGACUGACGCUGAGGCACGAAAGCGUGGGUAUCGAACAGGAUUAGAUACCCGAGUAGUC